This 468-nucleotide ribosomal RNA is filed under the name uncultured bacterium. RNAcentral's name for it is "partial 16S ribosomal RNA". It matches the Rfam family "Bacterial small subunit ribosomal RNA", at positions 28 to 507 of the family's 1533-position model. The record is from RNAcentral.
GACGAACGCUGGCGGCGUGCUUAACACAUGCAAGUCGAACGGAAAGACCCUGCUUUUGUGGGUUGCUCGAGUGGCGAACGGGUGAGUAACACGUGAGUAACCUGCCCUUGACUUUGGGAUAACUUCAGGAAACUGGGGCUAAUACCGGAUAGGAGCUCCUGCUGCAUGGUGGGGGUUGGACAGUUUCGGCGGUUGGGGAUGGACUCGCGGCUUAUCAGCUUGUUGGUGGGGUAGUGGCUUACCAAGGCUUUGACGGCUAGCCGGCAUGAGAGGGUGACCAGGCCCAUGGCGACUGAGAGACGGACCAGACGCCUACGGGAGGCAGCAGUGGGGAAUAUUGCACAAUGGGCGGAAGCCUGAUGCAGAAACGUCGGGUGCGGGAUGAGGGCUUUCGGGUUGUAAACCGCUUUCGGCUGUGACGAAGCGUGAGUGACGGUAAUGGGUAAAGAAGCACCGGCUAACUACGUG